GAUGAACGCUAGCGGCAGGCUUAACACAUGCAAGUCGAGGGGUAUAGUUCUUCGGAAUUAGAGACCGGCGCACGGGUGCGUAACGCGUAUGCAAUCUACCUUUCACAGAGGGAUAGCCCCAGAGAAAUUUGGAUUAAUACCUCAUAGUAUAGCAGUUUCGCAUGAAACCACUAUUAAAGUCACAACGGUGAAAGAUGAGCAUGCGUCCCAUUAGCUAGUUGGUAAGGUAACGGCUUACCAAGGCAACGAUGGGUAGGGGUCCUGAGAGGGAGAUCCCCCACACUGGUACUGAGACACGGACCAGACUCCUACGGGAGGCAGCAGUGAGGAAUAUUGGACAAUGGGCGCAAGCCUGAUCCAGCCAUGCCGCGUGCAGGAUGACGGUCCUAUGGAUUGUAAACUGCUUUUAUACAGGAAGAAACACUACUUCGUGAAGUAGCUUGACGGUACUGUAAGAAUAAGGAUCGGCUAACU
Molecule: ribosomal RNA, 474 nt
Filed under: uncultured bacterium
Lineage: Bacteria
Description: bacterial SSU rRNA
Rfam family: Bacterial small subunit ribosomal RNA
Source: RNAcentral